Molecule: long non-coding RNA, 197 nt
Organism: Dermochelys coriacea (leatherback sea turtle)
Lineage: Eukaryota; Metazoa; Chordata; Testudines; Dermochelyidae
Exons: 2
Source: RefSeq, a predicted model, not a curated record
CUCCCACCCUGGGUUCCCGCACCUUGAAGGCGGAGAAGGCACCUCUGCUGCAAAUGUUUCAACACUGAGACUAGCAUCUCCGUCCUGGAGCCUAGUGCAGAUAAGGCGGCGAAAAAACCGCACUCACGAUGAAAUGUUCUCUGAGCUCAUGCAGUCCACCUGAACUGAAAGAGUCCAGCAGAAUGCGUGGAGGCAGA